This 68-nucleotide transfer RNA is filed under the name Eristalinus aeneus. Its description in RNAcentral is "tRNA-Ser". RNAcentral also lists the same sequence under 1 other name. Lineage: Eukaryota; Metazoa; Arthropoda; Insecta; Diptera; Syrphidae. The record is from RNAcentral.
AGUUAAUGAGCUUGAAUAAGCAUAUGUUUUGAAAACAUAAUAUAGAGACUAAAAUUUUCUAUUAACUU